GAUGUAACACCAUGGGGUAGGAAGCCCAGAAACUUCUCCGGAAUGUGUACCAUGGGUAUGUUUGGUACCUGUGGAGGUCAGAAAGAGGAUAUUGCAUCCCCUGGAAAUGGAGUUAUGGAUGUUUAUGAAUCACCAGACCAAGAUGUGAACUCUCAGGUAUUUCUGCCACCACAUAUCUGUUUCAUCAUCAUGAACUCUAAUCCACUGAAAAUGGGAAAGCUCACAGUGUAAAUCAUGUUGCUCUACAGAUGCCAAUUCCUCCUCCCUAAGGUGGAUUGUAUGAAUGCCCAGGAACAUUGUAAUAAACCUGUGACAAUGGAAGCAGAAGACACAGAGUGCAACAGAAGCAGAAUCCUGAUCAAUGACAGCAGCUACAUAGUGUAAACAAAAGACUAUUGCAGGGCACUUAGACGUCAUCAGAAUAUCAUAUCCGUGCGUCGUAAAGAGAUAAAAGAAAUAAAGUAAGCCUAUCAGCUAUCUUAGAACUUUGAAUAUUAACUCUGAACCUUCUGAAAAGAAGGGAAUAUGAAGGAAGACCUUCAUAAUAACUCCAUAGUAUGUCACAUUCUCCCCAUACCUGUACCCACAUUUAUUGCCAUCACACCCUAAUAGACUCAGUAGCUGCUUUUAUGGAAACCAAAAGGAGAAUAGUCUAUGACUGGUCCAAACAUAGUUCUUCAUUUACGUGAGUGAUGACAGAUUGGUGCAGGCAUCUUCCUUCUGGCUGUACAAACAGGCACACUCCUGUGCUACCCACCCCCAUGCUACAACAUUGGCCCCUAUAAAA
Molecule: long non-coding RNA, 787 nt
Organism: Mesocricetus auratus (golden hamster)
Lineage: Eukaryota; Metazoa; Chordata; Mammalia; Rodentia; Cricetidae
Exons: 5
Source: RefSeq, a predicted model, not a curated record